UACGGAGGGGGCAAGCGUUGUUCGGAAUCAUUGGGCGUAAAGCGUAUGUAGGCGGCCAAAUAAGUCAGACGUGCAAGCCCUCGGCUCAACUGAGGAAUUGCGUUUGAAACUGCUUGGCUUGAGUAGAGGAGAGGAAAGCGGAAUUCCCAGUGUAGCGGUGAAAUGCAUUGAUAUUGGGAAGAACAUCGGUGGCGAAGGCGGCUUUCUGGCCUCUAACUGACGCUGAGAUACGAAAGCCAGGGGAGCGAACGGGAUUAGAA
RNAcentral lists this ribosomal RNA (260 nucleotides) under uncultured bacterium. RNAcentral describes it as "partial 16S ribosomal RNA". It matches the Rfam family "Bacterial small subunit ribosomal RNA", at positions 524 to 783 of the family's 1533-position model. The record is from RNAcentral.